UCUACACUUCCCCCACUGCCAUGUCCCAGAUGACCCCUCCCCUUUGCUGCUCCCCACAGAUCCCCCUCCCCAGCCAGUGCUGAGGCUGGAUCCCCCUUCUGGAGCAGUGAGUGAAGGACUCCCCCUGCUCAUCACCUGCGCAGUCUCCAGAGAUGCCAGAGAGUGGAGAUUUCACUUCUACAAGGACGGAGUCGAGAUCGUCCCCAGGGACAUGGGGUCUGAGAUCAGCACCAUGGAGCCUGGUACCGGCUCUGUGAAUGUCUCUGUGCUCAGCAUCCUACAGGCCGGUCCCAACAAAGCCGGGAAAUUCACCUGCGGGUACGAGGAGAAUGUGAGCGGGAGGUGGAUCCCGUCCCCCAGGAGCCGGGCUGUGAACGUCACUGUGAAUGUCACCGGGACAGCCUCUUACAGUACCCGUGAUAUUCUGCUGACAACAGGUGGCCUCUUGCUUCUGGUUGGAGCCAUUGCUGCUCUCAUCUGUUACUGCAGGAGGAAGGAAAGAGGUGAGUGAAAGGGGGAGACGCACUGUGAUCGCCCAUCUGCUCCCUCGAUAUGGUCUUGCCAAUAACUAUUCUGUAGUGAUCAGCGUAAAUAGUUUUAAACUAUUAACAACCGCAAAGCAACGGGCCAUGGUGUGGGUAUGGAAACCAAAUCUGAAAUAUGCCUGGCAAAUGAGGUAUGUACCUUUCAAUGAGCAGGCAGUGUUUACAAAGAAGAUAGAGAUGUAAAAAUAUUUAUGGGUUUUCAAAUGUAUCUUGGUACGUAUUUAUUUUAAUAACACAUGUUGUCAAAUAACCAACUCAGCUGAAGCUUGAUUUAAGACAAUCAAUCAAUCCAUCCUUAAUACAGCGCUAUAUAGAGAAAAGAAAAGAAAAGAAAACGUACAAACCCUCUGAGCCUGGAGAAGUGUUGGCAGCUUACUUCACUUCUAAGUCACUCCCCAACAUUCACACCUUAUAUACUGGUUUAAAACAAAGAAAAUCCUUUCUUGUGUUUUGUUUUGUUUUUUAAUUAAUAAGCCAGUGACACCUGUGAUUAGGGGGAGGGAUAGCUCAGUGGUUUGAGCAUUGGCCCGCUAAACCCUGGGUUGAAAGUUCACUCCUUAAGAGGGCCAUUUAGGAAACUGUGGUAAAAUUUUGUCUGGGGAUUAGUCCUGCUUUGAGCAGCGGGUUGGACUAGAUG
RNAcentral lists this long non-coding RNA (1182 nucleotides) under Chrysemys picta bellii (western painted turtle). RNAcentral's name for it is "lncRNA (ENSCPBG00000004366.1)". The record is from RNAcentral. Lineage: Eukaryota; Metazoa; Chordata; Testudines; Emydidae.